UGCUCUAUGCGGGAAGAAUAACCACGGUAACCUGUGGCUAAGAGUGUAGAAUAAGGUGCAAUCCUAUUAGUUUGUUGGUAGUGUAAAGGACUACCAAGGCAGUGAUGGGUAACGGGAAAUCAGGGUUUGAUUCCGGAGAGGGAGCCUGAGAGAUGGCUCCCACGUCCAAGGAUGGCAGCAGGCGCGAAAAUUGUCCACUCUUUUGAGAGGAGACAGUUAUGAAACGUGAGUAGAAGGGUCGAGUGUAAAAACCUUGACGUGAAGCAAUUGGAGGGCAAGUUUUGGUGCCAGCAGCCGCGGUAAUUCCAACUCCAAGAGUGUCUAUGGUGGAUGCUGCAGUUAAAGGGUCCGUAGUCGUAGAUGCAAUUAAAAGGUGGUGUUAAAAGCCAUUGAGUUUGUUGAGAGUAGCGGAACGGAUAGGGAGCAUGGUAUAGGUGGGCAAAGAAUGAAAUCUCAAGACCCCACCUGGACCAACGGAGGCGAAAGCGAUGCUCUUAGACGUAUCUGGGGAUCAAGGACGAAGGCUAGAGUAUCGAAAGUGAUUAGACACCGCUGUAGUUCUAGCAGUAAACUAUGCCGACAAUGCUGGGUGUUGCGAGAGCGAUGCUUGGUGUGGGAGAAAUCUUAGUUUUCGGGCUCUGGGGAUAGUACGCUCGCAAGGGUGAAACUUAAAGCGAAAUUGACGGAAGGACACUACCAGGAGUGGAUUGUGCUGCUUAAUUUAACUCAACGCGGGAAAACUUACCAGGGUCAAGUCUAUCGUAGAUUGGAGACAUGAGGUAGACAAGAGUGGUGCAUGGCCGUUGGAAAUUGAUGGGGCGACUUUUAGCUUAAGUGCUGGAACCAGUGAGAUCUUCUAGACAGGUGUUAUUUAGGCACAGGAGGGAGAAGGCAAUAACAGGUCCGUGAUGCCCUUAGAUAUCCUGGGCAGCAAGCGCAAUACAAUAUCUCUUGAGAAGACAAAGCAAUUUGAGAUGAGUAGGAUUAGCUUUUGUAAAUAAGCUA
This 1005-nucleotide ribosomal RNA is filed under the name Ecytonucleospora hepatopenaei. Its description in RNAcentral is "SSU rRNA". It matches the Rfam family "Microsporidia small subunit ribosomal RNA", at positions 108 to 1122 of the family's 1311-position model. Lineage: Eukaryota; Fungi; Microsporidia; Enterocytozoonidae. The record is from RNAcentral.